This 444-nucleotide ribosomal RNA is filed under the name Colletotrichum gloeosporioides. Its description in RNAcentral is "eukaryotic LSU rRNA". The stretch from base 66 to 220 matches the Rfam family "5.8S ribosomal RNA". Lineage: Eukaryota; Fungi; Ascomycota; Sordariomycetes; Glomerellales; Glomerellaceae. The record is from RNAcentral.
GGGGGCCGGAGUACCAAACUCUGAUUUAACGACGUUUCUUCUGAGUGGUACAAGCAAAUAAUCAAAACUUUUAACAACGGAUCUCUUGGUUCUGGCAUCGAUGAAGAACGCAGCGAAAUGCGAUAAGUAAUGUGAAUUGCAGAAUUCAGUGAAUCAUCGAAUCUUUGAACGCACAUUUGCGCCCGCCAGCAUUCUGGCGGGCAUGCCUGUUCGAGCGUCAUUUCAACCCUCAAGCUCUGCUUGGUGUUGGGGCCCUACAGCUGAUGUAGGCCCUCAAAGGUAGUGGCGGACCCUCCCGGAGCCUCCUUUGCGUAGUAACUUUACGUCUCGCACUGGGAUCCGGAGGGACUCUUGCCGUAAAACCCCCCAAUUUUCCAAAGGUUGACCUCGGAUCAGGUAGGAAUACCCGCUGAACUUAAGCAUAUAAGGGGGGGAAGAGAGAAA